This 369-nucleotide ribosomal RNA is filed under the name uncultured bacterium. RNAcentral describes it as "bacterial SSU rRNA". It matches the Rfam family "Bacterial small subunit ribosomal RNA", at positions 28 to 399 of the family's 1533-position model. The record is from RNAcentral.
GACGAACGCUGGCGGCGUGCUUAACACAUGCAAGUCGAGCGGUAAGGCCCUUUCGGGGGUACACGAGCGGCGAACGGGUGAGUAACACGUGGGUGACCUGCCCUCAGCUCUGGGAUAAGCCUGGGAAACUGGGUCUAAUACUGGAUAUGACUCCACGGUGCAUGUCGUGGGGUGGAAAGCCUUGUGCGGCUGAGGAUGGGCCCGCGGCCUAUCAGCUUGUUGGUGGGGUGGUGGCCUACCAAGGCGACGACGGUAGCCGGCCUGAGAGGGCGACCGGCCACACUGGGACUGAGACACGGCCCAGACUCCUACGGGAGGCAGCAGUGGGGAAUCUUGCGNAAUGGGCGAAAGCCUGACGCAGCGACGCCG